This 457-nucleotide ribosomal RNA is filed under the name Streptococcus sp. oral taxon 070. RNAcentral's name for it is "bacterial SSU rRNA". It matches the Rfam family "Bacterial small subunit ribosomal RNA", at positions 28 to 471 of the family's 1533-position model. Lineage: Bacteria; Bacillati; Bacillota; Bacilli; Lactobacillales; Streptococcaceae. The record is from RNAcentral.
GACGAACGCUGGCGGCGUGCCUAAUACAUGCAAGUAGAACGCUGAAGCUUGGUGCUUGCACCGAGCGGAUGAGUUGCGAACGGGUGAGUAACGCGUAGGUAACCUGCCUGGUAGCGGGGGAUAACUAUUGGAAACGAUAGCUAAUACCGCAUAAAAUGGAUUAUCGCAUGAUAAUCCAUUGAAAGGUGCAAAUGCAUCACUACCAGAUGGACCUGCGUUGUAUUAGCUAGUUGGUGGGGUAACGGCUCACCAAGGCGACGAUACAUAGCCGACCUGAGAGGGUGAUCGGCCACACUGGGACUGAGACACGGCCCAGACUCCUACGGGAGGCAGCAGUAGGGAAUCUUCGGCAAUGGACGGAAGUCUGACCGAGCAACGCCGCGUGAGUGAAGAAGGUUUUCGGAUCGUAAAGCUCUGUUGUAAGAGAAGAACGAGUGGAGAGGGAAAGUUCACACUG